AUUGAACGCUGGCGGCAGGCCUAACACAUGCAAGUCGAGCGGAUGAGAGGAGCUUGCUCCUUGAUUUAGCGGCGGACGGGUGAGUAAUGCCUAGGAAUCUGCCUGGUAGUGGGGGAUAACGUUCCGAAAGGAACGCUAAUACCGCAUCCGUCCUACGGGAGAAAGCAGGGGACCUUCGGGCCUUGCGCUAUUAGAUGACCCUAGGUCGGAUUAGCUAGUUGGUGAGGUAAUGGCUCACCAAGGCGACGUUCCGUAACUGGUCUGAGAGGAUGAUCAGUCACACUGGAACUGAGACACGGUCCAGACUCCUACGGGAGGCAGCAGUGGGGAAUAUUGGACAAAGGGCGAAAGCCUGAUCCAGCCAUGCCGCGUGUGUGAAGAAGGUCUUCGGAUUGUAAAGCACUUUAAGUUGGGAGGAAGGGCAGUAAGCUAAUACCUUGCUGUUUUGACGUUACCGACAGAAUAAGCACCGGCUAACUUCGUG
This 484-nucleotide ribosomal RNA is filed under the name uncultured bacterium. Its description in RNAcentral is "partial 16S ribosomal RNA". It matches the Rfam family "Bacterial small subunit ribosomal RNA", at positions 30 to 507 of the family's 1533-position model. The record is from RNAcentral.